Non-coding RNA from Coemansia sp. S610, 103 nucleotides. NCBI's taxonomy places the organism in Eukaryota, Fungi, Kickxellomycota, Kickxellomycetes, Kickxellales, Kickxellaceae. The record is from the annotation of a GenBank genome assembly.
GUCGAUUUGGCCGAGUGGUUAAGGCGCUGGUCUUGAAGAGCGGAAGCUAUGCUCCAGAUAACCAGUGGGAUUUCCCUCACAGGUUCGAACCCUGUAGUCGACG